RNAcentral lists this long non-coding RNA (1813 nucleotides) under Equus caballus (horse). RNAcentral's name for it is "lncRNA (ENSECAG00000060327.1)". Lineage: Eukaryota; Metazoa; Chordata; Mammalia; Perissodactyla; Equidae. The record is from RNAcentral.
GUUGGGCCAGUGACAUGCAAGCACACAAUUGCACACACAGCCAUGGGGGUCAGUCAUUGGGAUCUAGGCUGGCAUCUUGCACUCCUGUAGCUGCAGAGGCUUAAACUGGCUCCUGAUGUGGCUCUCAUACUCCGUUGGGGGCCAAGGAGAGAAAGGGGGCAGGAGUUAGAUGGCUGGCUUCAACAAACAUGAAUCCCUGUGUGACCAAAGCUGGUAAAUUUGCAGGGGUUCUGUAGCAGCUAUGCUGGCUGUUGAUCACUUCUUCAGUGGCUACAGCUGUUUGGUUUGUAGAGGAGAUCACUGUGAACUGUGAUAGCUCCCACAGUGCCCCUGCUUUUCUUCCUUGCUCCUAACCAUGUCUACGUCUCUCAGCUUUGCUGGUUUGGAUGGUAUGAAACUGAAAUGAGAACUUCAUUUGCUGCCCUGGAAGGCUGGAAAAGCUGGUUGCUCGCCCCACUCUUUCUUCCUUGCCAUCCUUGUGAGCGUGAAGUGGUAUCUCAUUGUGGUUUUGGUUUGCGCUUCCCCAGCAAUUGGAUAUAAUUAGCCCUGAGCUAACAUCUGCUGCCAAUCCUCCUCUUUUUGCUGAGAAAGACUGGCUCUGAGCUAACAUCCGUGCCCAUCUUCCUCUACUUUAUGUGGAAUGCCUGCCACAGCAUGGCUCAACGGGCGGUCUGUAUGUUCACAACCGGGAUUCAAACCAGCGUACCCUGGGCUGCCGAAGCAGAACGUGCAAACUUAACCACUGUGCCACCAGACGAUCCCAACCCUCCUGCUUUUUUUUGGGUUUAAAUUUCAUCUAUUUUUCUAAUUCUUGAAAUGGAUGCUUAGAUAAUUGAUUUUCAGCAUUUUUCCUUUCUUAUAUACAUUUAAAGAUAUGACUAUCCAUUAAAGCAUGGUUUAACUGCAACUUACAAUUUUCAAAGUAUAAUAUUUUAAUAAUUAUUAGUUCACAUAUUUUUUGUUAUGAUAUUUUCUUUAACAUAUACUUGACUUAUAGUGCAUUUCUUAAUUUCUCUUUAUUUCUUAAUAUGUAUUAAUUUCCAAAUAUGUGGUGAUCUUUAGUUAUCUAUCUCUUGUUAAUUUCUCACUUAAUUGCACUGUGGUACUGGACAUAUUAUAUACCAUAUCAAUCUUUUGAAAGUUUUUGAUAUUUAUUUCAUAGCAUAGCUUAUAAUCAAUUUUUUGCAAAUGUUUUAUACACAGUUGACAGUAAUAUGUAUUCUAUAGCUAUUGAGUGCAAUCUAGUAUGUCAUAUUUGUUAAUUGCAUUGUUCCAAUCUUGUAUCUUUUAUAUUUUUCAUCUACUUAAUCUAUCAGUUAAUGAGAAAAGUUGUUAAAAUGCUCAGUGUGAUUGUCGAUUUGUCUAUUUCUCCUUAGAGUUCUAUCACUUUUAGCUUUAUAUAUUUUGAGGAUUUGUAAUCAGGUGCAUACACAUUUAAAAUUUUUAUCUUCCUAGGGAAUUAAAUCAUUGUGAAAGUUUCCUCUUAAUCCAGAGUAAUGGUUUCUACAUUUUGUCUACUUUGUCUGAUAUUAAUAUAGUUACAACCACUUUCUUUUGGCUAAUGUUUGUGUUGUGUAUUUAUUUUGCGUCCCUUUAUUAUAAACCUUUUAAUCCUGUUUCAGUUAUCCAUCCAUGAGUAACAAACCACCCCAAACCUUAGUGACUUAAAAACAGCAAUGUGUUCUCUAUCUUGGUUCUGUGGUUGAUUUGGCUCAGCUCAGCAGUUUUCAUUUAGGAGGGGAUCGCUCAUGUAGCUGCAGACUUACGGUAGCAGUUGCUGGAAUCAUGUGAGGGCUUGAUUUGGCUGGAUAGC